CAGCUUACAGUCCUCCUGACAUUAGCAAUGUGCUUGGUUAUUUCUGUGACUGUGAAUAUUGGUUUCAUCUGUUUCCGACCUCCAAGGACAGCCUGUAGCUGCUUUAAAGCUGAAAGGGAGAUCACCACUUCCCAGGAAACAAAUGACUUUAGCCAGCAAUCACGUGGAACUGCUCAAGAUGGAAACGAUGUUAGCUAUGCUGCAUUAGAUUUCUCUGGAGCAAAAGUGAACCAGGGAAGAAAGAAGAAAAGGAUUAAAACGGAAGAAAGUUUGUACUCUUCGGUUAGAAUUUAAGGCAAAUUACUCCAUGUAAAAAUAUCUGGAGUAUAUUUAUGCCCUUUUUUUCUACCAUCACAACA
Molecule: long non-coding RNA, 359 nt
Organism: Fundulus heteroclitus (mummichog)
Lineage: Eukaryota; Metazoa; Chordata; Actinopteri; Cyprinodontiformes; Fundulidae
Exons: 3
Source: RefSeq, a predicted model, not a curated record